This 447-nucleotide ribosomal RNA is filed under the name uncultured bacterium. RNAcentral's name for it is "partial 16S ribosomal RNA". It matches the Rfam family "Bacterial small subunit ribosomal RNA", at positions 330 to 793 of the family's 1533-position model. The record is from RNAcentral.
UCCAGACUCCUACGGGAGGCAGCAGUGGGGAAUAUUGCACAAUGGGGGAAACCCUGAUGCAGCAACGCCGCGUGAGUGAGGAAGUAUUUCGGUAUGUAAAGCUCUCUCAGCAGGGAAUAGAAAAGAAGGUACCUGAAAAAGAAGCCCCGGCUAACUACGUGCCAGCAGCCGCGGUAAUACGUAGGGGGCAAGCGUUAUCCGGAUUUACUGGGUGUAAAGGGAGCGUAGACGGCAGCGCAAGUCUGAAGUGAAAUGCCGGGGCUUAACCCCGGAACUGCCUUGGAAACUGGGCAGCUAGAGUGCAGGAGAGGUAAGUGGAAUUCCUGGUGUAGCGGUGAAAUGCGUAGAUAUUAGGAGGAACCCCAGUGGCGAAGGCGGCUUACUGGGCUGUAACUGACGUUGAGGCUCGAAAGCGUGGGGAGCAAACAGGAUUAGAUACCCUCGUAA